GAUAAACGCUGGCGGCGUGCAUAACACAUGCAAGUCGAACGAUGAAGAUUAAAAGAUUUCUUCGGAAUGAACUUAAUUGGAUUAGUGGCGGACGGGUGAGUAACGCGUGAGUAACCUGCCUUGUACAAGGGGAUAGCCGUUGGAAACGACGAAUAAUACCCUAUGACAUCAAAUAAUCGCAUGAUAAUUUGAUCAAAGAUUUAUCGGUAUAAGAUGGACUCGCGUCUGAUUAGCUAGUUGGUAGAGUAAAAGCCUACCAAGGCAACGAUCAGUAGCCGGCUUGAGAGAGUGUACGGCCACAUUGGGACUGAGACACGGCCCAGACUCCUACGGGAGGCAGCAGUGGGGAAUGUUGCACAAUGGGGGAAACCCUGAUGCAGCGACGCCGCGUGAUUUAGAAGGCCUUCGGGUUGUAAAAAUCUUUUGUAUGGGAAGAAAAUGACAGUACCAUACGAAUAAGGACCGGCUAAGUACGUG
RNAcentral lists this ribosomal RNA (477 nucleotides) under uncultured bacterium. RNAcentral's name for it is "partial 16S ribosomal RNA". It matches the Rfam family "Bacterial small subunit ribosomal RNA", at positions 28 to 507 of the family's 1533-position model. The record is from RNAcentral.